AACGAACGCUGGCGGCGCGCCUAAUACAUGCAAGUCGAGCGAGAAGACGUAGCAAUACGUUUGUAAAGCGGCGAACGGGUGAGGAAUACAUGGGUAACCUACCCUCGAGUGGGGAAUAACUAGCCGAAAGGUUAGCUAAUACCGCGUACGCUCCUUGGACUUCGGUUCAGGGAGGAAAGCGAUACCGUGGGUAUCGCGCUCUUGGAUGGGCUCAUGUCCUAUCAGCUUGUUGGUGAGGAACGGCUCACCAAGGCUUCGACGGGUAGCUGGUCUGAGAGGACGAUCAGCCACACUGGCACUGCGACACGGGCCAGACUCCUACGGGAGGCAGCAGUAAGGAAUAUUGCGCAAUGGGCGAAAGCCUGACGCAGCGACGCCGCGUGGGGGAUGAAGGUCUUCGGAUUGUAAACCCCUUUCGGGAGGGAAGAUGGAACGAGCAAUCGUUCGGACGGUACCUCCAGAAGCAGCCACGGCUAACUUCGUGCCAGCCGCCGCGGUAAC
RNAcentral lists this ribosomal RNA (501 nucleotides) under uncultured bacterium. Its description in RNAcentral is "bacterial SSU rRNA". It matches the Rfam family "Bacterial small subunit ribosomal RNA", at positions 29 to 524 of the family's 1533-position model. The record is from RNAcentral.